CACUAUGCCUAGCCCUAAACAUUGAUAAUAACUUACAACUAUUAUCCGCCUGGGAACUACGAGCACCAGCUUAAAACCCAAAGGACUUGGCGGUGCUUUAGACCCACCUAGAGGAGCCUGUUCUAGAACCGAUAACCCCCGUUCAACCUCACCCUUCCUUGUUCUUCCCGCCUAUAUACCACCGUCGUCAGCUUACCCUGUGAAGGAUUAAUAGUAAGCAAAACUGGCAGAGCCCAAAACGUCAGGUCGAGGUGUAGCGUAUGGAAGGGGAAGAAAUGGGCUACAUUCACUAGUUUAGUGCACACGAAUGACACCCUGAAACACGUGUCUGAAGGAGGAUUUAGCAGUAAGCAGAAAAUAGAGCGUUCUACUGAAACUGGCCCUGAAGCGCGCACACACCGCCCGUCACUCUCCCCGAGCUAAAAUCUUCAAAUAAAUAAAACCCUAUAACUGCAAAGGGGAGGCAAGUCGUAA
Molecule: ribosomal RNA, 474 nt
Filed under: Acanthurus nigrofuscus (brown surgeonfish)
Lineage: Eukaryota; Metazoa; Chordata; Actinopteri; Acanthuriformes; Acanthuridae
Description: partial small subunit ribosomal RNA
Rfam family: Bacterial small subunit ribosomal RNA
Source: RNAcentral